Molecule: ribosomal RNA, 497 nt
Filed under: uncultured bacterium
Lineage: Bacteria
Description: partial 16S ribosomal RNA
Rfam family: Bacterial small subunit ribosomal RNA
Source: RNAcentral
GAUGAACGCUGGCGGCGUGCCUAAUACAUGCAAGUCGAGCGAACGGACGAGAAGCUUGCUUCUCUGAUGUUAGCGGCGGACGGGUGAGUAACACGUGGAUAACCUACCUAUAAGUCUGGGAUAACUUCGGGAAACCGGAGCUAAUACUGGCUAAUAUUUUGAACCGCAUGGUUCAAAAGUGAAAGACGGUCUUGCUGUUACUUAUAGACGGUUCCGCGCCGCAUUAGCUAGUUGGUAAGGUAACGGCUUACCAAGGCAACGAUGCAUAGCCGACCUGAGAGGGUGAUCGGCCACACUGGAACUGAGACACGGUCCAGACUCCUACGGGAGGCAGCAGUAGGGAAUCUUCCGCAAAGGGCGAAAGCCUGACGGAGCAACGCCGCGUGAGUGAUGAAGGUCUUCGGAUCGUAAAACUCUGUUAUUAGGGAAGAACAUAUGUGUAAGUAACUGUGCACAUCUUGACGGUACCUAAUCAGAAAGCCACGGCUAACUACGUG